RNAcentral lists this ribosomal RNA (588 nucleotides) under Triticum aestivum (bread wheat). RNAcentral's name for it is "partial small subunit ribosomal RNA". The record is from RNAcentral. Lineage: Eukaryota; Viridiplantae; Streptophyta; Magnoliopsida; Poales; Poaceae.
AUGGCGUCUUUUGGUCUCAGGCAAGCUACCAAAUUAACAACCAAAUUCUAUGGACCACUCAGGGUCUUGGAGAAAAUUGGCAAUUCCUCAUACAAGCUUCUCCUCCCACCCCAAAUCAACAUCCAUAAUGUCUUCCAUGUUAGCCAGUGAAAGAAGCAUAAAGGUACUCAUGUUGUUCCAGCCCAAGUACUACCACUGAUUGGGGCAGAUGGCAAAAUCCAAACUGAACCAGUACAUGUGCUGGAGACAAGAUCCAUGCCUAGGAAUGGUGUUGGGGAACGUAGCAGAAAUUCAAAAUUUUCCUACGUGCCACCAAGAUCUAUCUAUGGAGAAACCAGCAACGAGGGAAAGGAGAGUGCAUCUACAUACCCUUGUAGAUUGCUAAGCGGAAGCUUUCAAGAGAACGGGGUUGAAGGAGUCGUACUUGUCGUGAUCCAAAUCACCGGAGAUCCUAGUGCCGAACGAACGGCACCUCCGCGUUCAACACACGUGCAGCCCGAUGACGUCUCACAUGCCUUGAUCCAGCAAGGAGAGAGGGAGAGGUUGGGGAAGACUCCGUCCAGCAGCAGCACGAUGGCAUGGUGGUGA